GGCGAACGCUGGCGGCGUGCUUAACACAUGCAAGUCGAACGGAAAGGCCCUGCUUUUGUGGGGUGCUCGAGUGGCGAACGGGUGAGUAACACGUGAGUAACCUGCCCUUGACUUUGGGAUAACUUCAGGAAACUGGGGCUAAUACCGGAUAGGAGCUCCUGCUGCAUGGUGGGGGUUGGAAAGUUUCGGCGGUUGGGGAUGGACUCGCGGCUUAUCAGCUUGUUGGUGGGGUAGUGGCUUACCAAGGCUUUGACGGGUAGCCGGCCUGAGAGGGUGACCGGCCACAUUGGGACUGAGAUACGGCCCAGACUCCUACGGGAGGCAGCAGUGGGGAAUAUUGCACAAUGGGCGGAAGCCUGAUGCAGCAACGCCGCGUGCGGGAUGACGGCCUUCGGGUUGUAAACCGCUUUCGCCUGUGACGAAGCGUGAGUGACGGUAAUGGGUAAAGAGGCACCGGCUAACUACG
RNAcentral lists this ribosomal RNA (466 nucleotides) under uncultured bacterium. Its description in RNAcentral is "partial 16S ribosomal RNA". It matches the Rfam family "Bacterial small subunit ribosomal RNA", at positions 28 to 505 of the family's 1533-position model. The record is from RNAcentral.